Molecule: long non-coding RNA, 1590 nt
Organism: Felis catus (domestic cat)
Lineage: Eukaryota; Metazoa; Chordata; Mammalia; Carnivora; Felidae
Exons: 2
Source: RefSeq, a predicted model, not a curated record
GCGGGAUUACGUGGCGCCCCGCCCUUGCUCGGGCUGCAGAGGGUGGUCCAGAGCUGCGGAGUCCUCGGAAUCCCGUUGGGCCGCUGCUAAUUCAGUUAAUUACCUGUCCGACCCACGCAUCGGUGGAAGAAUAGAAGACUUCUUCCUACUAACCACCUGAACUAUGGCAAUUUUUAGUAACUUUGUGAUUACCUAAAAGUUAAGAUUGGGAGGUCACAGAGUAAAAUGAGGACAGCAAACCAUAAAGAAACGGGGCCAAGAACAAAAGUAAAAGAAAUCCAGGUGAAAAAGUAAGUUUCACGAAAUAGUCCCUUGUCUUUCAGUCAUGGCCAAAUCCACCCUCUUCCGUGAUAGCUAACUCAAUUUCCACUUUUCCCCAAACAGCAUUCCAAACCACUCUAACCAACCACCCGCGCUUUAGUUAUUCCUCCCAAAUUCCUGUGUCUCUUAAGCUGAACUUCCACUGUUCUUUCCUAGAAGGGAAGGAUGAGGAUGUGUACUUCUUUUGAUUGAACGGUAUCUGUCUGAUGUGUGCUUGCAAAUAAAUAUCACGCUAACCACGCGGGCCGCCCCAGAGGAAUGCCUGGUGUACUAUUACCUUUCCCCGUCAGUAUAAUUUACAGACUCCUCAAUGUUACUUGAAGUUGAAACAUCUGCUCCUAACUGGUGAUUUGUGGAUUUUAAUUGUUCAAUUUCAGUUUUCAGUUCUUCACAUUGUGAACGCAUUUGUGAUUUUUCCAUUUCCAAUAAUUCAACCUGACAAAAAAAAAAUUUGAGUGUAAAAUUUAGAACUAAUGCCAAAGUGCAAAUUUAAGCUAAGACAUGUAGAAAACCUGAGUGAUGAACAUUACCAUCAAAAAAGGGCAAAAACCCCACAGGAAAAAAAAAAAGCUUCCUCUGUUUGGUGUCACCUCGACAUUUCGUCACACUGGAAACAAUACCAAAGUGGCUCUCAUUUCUUGCACACACUCACCAGCUGGAAGCUACAACAGAAAGCUUAUAUUGAUUUUUAUAUAUUUUGUCAUCUGGCUCCAAGCCAAUAAUACAUCAAGAUGAAUGUUCAGAUGAGCUGUUACGUCCGCAUUAUUUCCAGGAAGAGGGGGCAGGAGAGCAGCACACUGCUGUUUCCGAAUCUCAGCAGAAAAACCCUUCUUUCAAACGCCACAUUAACAGGAUACGUAAAAUACUUGUUUUUGGAAGAAGCGAUCCAAAUUUGAAUGGAGAGUACACACAGAGGCUACUACUUGACGCCUGACACCUACCAUUUUUCUCCUUCUCCUUCAGUAAAGGAACCCCUGAAUAAAGACUACAGUUCCAAGGCGCCCAUUAGCCAGGUGGCUAAGUUCUGACAGGUGGAACGUAAGCGACUUUCAGGGACCACACCCCUCCUCUGUCCUGCUGCUUGGAAUGUAGAUAUACGAGGACUGGACCCGGAGGGCCACCUCCGACCAUAACUGCAUGCGGAGAAGCGAAGCAACAACGUAGGAGCCUGCUGUCUCUGAGGCCUGCGGAACCGCCAGUUGGAUGUUCGUCUCCGUCUCCUGCCGGCAGACCCGAUCGUAACUAAUACAGGCUGUCUCUAUAAAAUGA